CUGAGGCAGGAUGUGAUCCACGUGGUCUGACGUCAGAGCUCAGCUCUCUGCACCUUGCCCUGUUGCUUCUUCUUGCCUUUUUUCCUACCCUCUUUUCCUUCCCUUCUCCUAACGUUGUUUUCUCCUUCUCUUCUUCUAGGUCCCUGAACAAGAUCUUCUAUUCUCGGGAUAUGGGAGGCAUCAGCACAGUAGAAAACGAAGCUGACCAUCUCUCAGGAGGCAGCUUAGGUUGGGAAUCUCUUCAGGCUUGCUUUCUGCAAAUCGCUGGGUACAAAACAUUAUUGCAGAUGUGGAAAAAAUGUGCAGAGAACCUGUGCUUCUGAUAAUGCCUGACAUGAAGAAAUGCAUCUGAAGGUUCUUCAUCCAGAUUGGGGCAUCAGGUGAAACUUUCCGAGAGGGCAAUUAAUGCUUGAUAUGUUUAUGACAUGGAGCUAGAUAAGAGCCAGACCACAUAGAUAUUUGUGUGCCAUAUUCUGUUUACUUGUUUAAAAAAUAUCAUUGGCUUGGGAGGAAUUUUAAGUAGGAAUUGAUGUGACUAGAUCUUUUUCUUAAUAGCUAAUAAAAUAGUUAAUGCAAUCUAGGAGAGAAGUGAU
Molecule: long non-coding RNA, 593 nt
Filed under: Bos indicus x Bos taurus (hybrid cattle)
Lineage: Eukaryota; Metazoa; Chordata; Mammalia; Artiodactyla; Bovidae
Description: lncRNA (ENSBIXG00000017918.1)
Source: RNAcentral